CACGUAGUUAGCCGGCGCUUCUUAUCCAGCUACCGUCAACCAGGCGAAUAAGGCCUGGCCUGCUUCACUGGCGAAAGAGGUUUACAACCCGAAGGCCUUCAUCCCUCACGCGGCGUCGCUGCAUCAGGCUUGCGCCCAUUGUGCAAUAUUCCCCACUGCUGCCUCCCGUAGGAGUCUGGGCCGUGUCUCAGUCCCAGUGUGACCGUCCACCCUCUCAGGCCGGCUACCCGUCAAAGCCUUGGUAGGCCAUCACCCCACCAACAAGCUGAUAGGCCGCGAGCCCAUCCCCCACCAGAAAAACCUUUCCAGACCCCACCAUGCGGUAGGGAAUGAGUAUCCCGUAUUAGCUACCGUUUCCGGCAGUUAUCCAGGAGAAGGGGGCAGGUUACUCACGUGUUACUCACCCGUUCGCCACUCAUCCACCCCAGCAAGCUGGGGCUUCACCGUUCGACUUGCAUGUGUUAAGCACGCCGCCAGCGUUCGUCCUGAGCCAGGAUCAAACUCU
Molecule: ribosomal RNA, 505 nt
Filed under: uncultured Actinomyces sp.
Lineage: Bacteria; Bacillati; Actinomycetota; Actinomycetes; Actinomycetales; Actinomycetaceae
Description: partial 16S ribosomal RNA
Source: RNAcentral